CAGAGGCGGCACAGCCAGCGGACUGCCAUCAGGGGCGGGGUGGGCGUGGCGGCAGCGCGUGCUGGUGGCUGGCUCAGUCGGUGAGGCGAAUUGCUCGGUGCGGACGUGUCGCAGCAAGUCUCUGUGUUGCGCGCGUGAGCAGCAGCGGGGCGCCCGGAGCUCGCUCCCCCCCCCGUGGGGUCAUCUUCUCCGCUCCUAAUAGACCCCCCGGGACCGGAGAGUGAGGCGAGGCAGGAGCGAAGGGUGAGUUAGGCAUCAGCACCAUACGAAGUAAUCAUGGCAGAGGGUCAGCCAGCCGGGUAUACUGGCA
Molecule: non-coding RNA, 310 nt
Organism: Pelobates cultripes (western spadefoot toad)
Lineage: Eukaryota; Metazoa; Chordata; Amphibia; Anura; Pelobatidae
Source: the annotation of a GenBank genome assembly